Molecule: ribosomal RNA, 253 nt
Filed under: uncultured bacterium
Lineage: Bacteria
Description: partial 16S ribosomal RNA
Rfam family: Bacterial small subunit ribosomal RNA
Source: RNAcentral
UACGUAGGUCUCAAGCGUUGUUCGGAUUCAUUGGGCGUAAAGGGUGCGUAGGCGGCGCGGUAAGUCGGGUGUGAAAUCUCGGAGCUUAACUCCGAAACUGCAUUCGAUACUGCCGUGCUUGAGGACUGGAGAGGAGACUGGAAUUUACGGUGUAGCGGUGAAAUGCGUAGAUAUCGUAAGGAAGACCAGUGGCGAAGGCGGGUCUCUGGACAGUUCCUGACGCUGAGGCACGAAGGCCAGGGGAGCAAACGGG